CCAUUAUGUAUCCAGGAAAUUGUACACAAUAGUCCUACACCAUUAAAAUCAAUGGCUAAAAAAACACAUCUAUCAAAUCUAAUGGCCACGAUUGAAUGUGGGAAGCCAGGCUUCUCUCACCCGUGACUUCUCAGGCCGCACCCGGCGCCGAACCUCCAAGCAUCAUCGAAUCGAAGAAAAAAAAAGAAAAACCGGCCUCCGAUCACCCAGCUGUGGAGGCCGCGCCGAUCGCCUACGCCCGCGCCAGGAGGAAGCUAGCCUCACGGGAUCACGCCUGGCUCCGAGUAGCCGCCGCGCCGAUCGCCUGCGCCCGCGCCAGGACGAAGCCGGCCUCACCAGGACGCACGCCCGAGCCCGCGCAGUCGCCGCGUCGAUCGCCUGCGACCGCGGCAGGAGGAAGCCGGCCUCGUGAGGACGCACGCCUAAGCCCGUGCAGUCGUCGCGCCAAGCAGCAGCCUCGACGAGCCUUCUGAUUGCUCGCCGGGAGGAAGCCACACCCGAGCCCGUGCAGCGGCCACGACGAUCACGCACGCGUGGCAGAGGGGAGGCCGCGGUCACGCACAUGACGAUCACCUUGUUCUGCGGAUCCAUACGCCAAGCACGCAGGAUCUCCUGAUGGAAGUGCACUAAACAAAUCAGACUUCACAUUCUCAGCUAAUGCACUAGCUCUUGAGCAUGAAGCAGUGACAAUCCUCACCUUAGUAUGUUCCUCCUCUGAAUGCAUGGAGUCUUUGUGGUCUCUGUAUCCUUCAAGCUUUGCAUCAUCAGCCGCCGCGACGAUCAGUAUCAUGUCAACGCCCACACCCACGCACUUUGACGAGGUAACGACAAAGCCGCGCGGUGCCUGGCAACGACGAUCGCCCGCCUCUGCCGCCGUCAUGAUGAUCACGCCGGCGCAGACACGGCGCUCGCGUCGUUGCUAGCUUACAGCAAAGAGUGGGUUCGAAGCACACAACUAUACACAAUUUCUUUAAGUCCUAGAAAAAUUAGAGAAAUUUUAGAUGACAAUAGAGAGUUGGAUCAUGAUUGCUUCAACAUGGUUGUUAGGAUAGCUGCGUCAAAUGAAUCCUUGUUGUUGAAGAAGCAAAAAUACCACUUCAUGGACCUCCAGUUUGCUUCCAUAACUCAGUUUGGACGAGAUCCGCGAUGUUGUGACAAGCUAGACAACAAGAAACUCGCAAAAGUACUUGAGUGCUGGCCUGAUAUGGAGUACAAAAUUAAAGAUUGCAACAAUAUUCUACUACCAUAUUAUCGAGAUGGGCUAUACAUUUUAUUCAUAAUGAACAUGCAAAACAAAACUAUGUACAUUAUGGAUCCACUUCUAAAUGAAGUAUGUUUCAAGGGUUA
Molecule: long non-coding RNA, 1347 nt
Organism: Sorghum bicolor (sorghum)
Lineage: Eukaryota; Viridiplantae; Streptophyta; Magnoliopsida; Poales; Poaceae
Exons: 7
Source: RefSeq, a predicted model, not a curated record